This 223-nucleotide ribosomal RNA is filed under the name uncultured bacterium. Its description in RNAcentral is "partial 16S ribosomal RNA". It matches the Rfam family "Bacterial small subunit ribosomal RNA", at positions 328 to 539 of the family's 1533-position model. The record is from RNAcentral.
ACGCUCGACACCUACGUGAGGCAGCAGUAGGGAAUCUUCCACAAUGGACGCAAGUCUGAUGGAGCAACGCCGCGUGAGUGAAGAAGGUCUUCGGAUCGUAAAACUCUGUUGUUAGAGAAGAACACGAGUGAGAGUAACUGUUCAUUCGAUGACGGUAUCUAACCAGCAAGUCACGGCUAACUACGUGUCAGCAGCCGCGGUAAUCUGAGGCGGCUGGCAAGGC